RNAcentral lists this long non-coding RNA (290 nucleotides) under Canis lupus familiaris (dog). RNAcentral's name for it is "lncRNA (ENSCAFG00000054311.1)". Lineage: Eukaryota; Metazoa; Chordata; Mammalia; Carnivora; Canidae. The record is from RNAcentral.
GACAGUUAAUUGGACACUCCAGUAUCAUAUUAUAUACUUCCUACACAUCCACUUCCGUCAGUACAGAACUCUCUCAUGUUUUCCCUUCCAGAGCCUUAAAUUUUGUGAGAUUCCUUGAAGAAUUGUGAAAAUUCCAUUUUAUAUGGCUGAGUGCUCAUAUCCAGCAUAAGCAAUGGAAAUGCUCCAGUUCAAAUCCAAUGAAUAUUAGGGAAGGAACUACAGUUGACUUGAAGAAGCAUCUGCUUAAUGUCUGGUCAAAGCUUACCAGUGAUACAGAAAUCUAUGGUUAA